This 1164-nucleotide long non-coding RNA is filed under the name Mus musculus (house mouse). Its description in RNAcentral is "predicted gene 15222 (Gm15222)". The record is from RNAcentral. Lineage: Eukaryota; Metazoa; Chordata; Mammalia; Rodentia; Muridae.
AGCCGUCUGGGAGUUGUCCCCGCCUGCUCUGAGGAACUCUCGGCGGGACACCAGCCACUGGCGCGGCUCUCGGUCGUAGUCGCUGCACGCAGGGGACGUGGGGCACGUCUCUACCUGCGGCGCGCAGUGCAAUGCAUCUGGCCAGAUCUCAGAGUUGCAAAGGCUUUACAACUCCUACCCGGCACGGAAAGGAGACCCCAAGCGCGAUCCCAAGCGUCUACAAACCCGAGAACAGCUUUCGGCCUGCACUCGACCUCUCCCUCUGGCUUGGCUUACUUUUUAAACCACCUCCACCCCCACCGCCACCCCCGCGCGCGCCACUUCCUUCCCCCACCCCUUUCCUCCUUUUGCACCAGCUACAGAAUCGCGGCUAAGAUUCCUCCAAGAAAUUCACCAACACAACUCGGGUGGGGUUGGGGGGGGGGGUGACCUGACUAUCCUAAGAUGCCUGGCCUGUUCUAACCUCGGAAGCGCAACUCUUGUUCCAACAGGUCUUUGCACGGGGUCCAUCCGAGGACCGGAGUCCCAGGACUCCCCCGCUCCAGAGCCCGCUCCACCCCGCCUCUUUGCCUCACUUAGGAACUCGACGUGUCCAGCUGGUUUUCAACCUAACCUCUCCCCCCCCCCCGCACCGGCCCCAGUUUUCGAGGCGGGGGGCACUUUCGGGAAACCUUUGAGAAAGAAGUGUAAAGGAUGGAGAGUCACGUCCUUCCUGGCGGCGGUGGCUGCCCAGCGCCAUCCCACACUGCUGCCCUGGGUGCAGAGACCGCGGGCGCCCCUGAGCGACAGUCCGCUCUCACCACCAUCAGCGCAGCUUUCUGAGACGAUUUCUCUAUUCCCCGACCAGCGUCGCCGCUGGGAAUAACUGGGAAAGCGCUGGAAAGGGCAAAGGGCUUAUUGUUGAUUUGUUUAUUUGCUUUUAAGGGGGAAAGAGAUGGCGAUAUGCUAGCGACUGGCGCACGCGGAGCGAGGGCACCGUGGAACCGCCGACGCUCAGGAUCCCCGGACAAUCCUGUGCCUUUGGCGGUGUGUGGAGCGCUCUCGACGUUAAAGCCCAGUAAAUAGACGAAGGACUUGUUUCAAUUUCAACUUCACAAGGAUCCCUUUCUAAUCACUCCUUUCUUCCCUGAUUUUUUUUAAUUAAAAAAUACAGAUCAAAGUAAA